AUACGGAGGGUGCGAGCGUUAAUCGGAAUUACUGGGCGUAAAGGGUGCGUAGGCGGCUUGAUAAGUCGGAUGUGAAAGCCCCGGGCUUAACCUGGGAAUUGCAUUCGAUACUGUCAGGCUAGAGUAUGUCAGAGGUUGGCGGAAUUCCUGGUGUAGCGGUGAAAUGCGUAGAUAUCAGGAGGAACACCAGUGGCGAAGGCGGCUAACUGGGACAAUACUGACGCUGAGGCACGAAAGCGUGGGGAGCGAACAGGAUUAGAUACCCUAGUAGUCC
Molecule: ribosomal RNA, 274 nt
Filed under: uncultured bacterium
Lineage: Bacteria
Description: partial 16S ribosomal RNA
Rfam family: Bacterial small subunit ribosomal RNA
Source: RNAcentral